RNAcentral lists this transfer RNA (75 nucleotides) under Nostoc sp. FACHB-190. RNAcentral describes it as "tRNA-Leu". It matches the Rfam family "tRNA". From Rfam's summary of the family: Transfer RNA (tRNA) molecules are approximately 80 nucleotides in length. Their secondary structure includes four short double-helical elements and three loops (D, anti-codon, and T loops). Further hydrogen bonds mediate the characteristic L-shaped molecular structure. tRNAs have two regions of fundamental functional importance: the anti-codon, which is responsible for specific mRNA codon recognition, and the 3' end, to which the tRNAs corresponding amino acid is attached (by aminoacyl-tRNA synthetases). tRNAs cope with the degeneracy of the genetic code in two manners: having more than one tRNA (with a specific anti-codon) for a particular amino acid; and 'wobble' base-pairing, i.e. permitting non-standard base-pairing at the 3rd anti-codon position. Lineage: Bacteria; Bacillati; Cyanobacteriota; Cyanophyceae; Nostocales; Nostocaceae. The record is from RNAcentral.
ACUCCUGUAGCCCAAUUGGAAGAGGCGGCUGUCUCAAAAACAGUUUGUGUGUGGGUUCAAAUCCCACCGGGAGUA